AAGAAGAUAGCUGAGAAGACCAACUAGUGUAAAGAGUGACAGGUUGGAGUAGCUGGACAUUUAGCCUCCGAAAUAUAUUUCCGUUAGAGCAGAACAACAACAGAACGGAAGAAGAGGAAGAAGAGAUAACGGGAAGUUCGCCUUAACGAGAACAGAUAAAGAAGAGCAGGGAACAGAUAGACAAGAUACUAAUGCUGUGCACAAGAAUGAAACAAAAUAACAUCUUUUGGGAGCCCAGGAAAUGGAU
Molecule: long non-coding RNA, 247 nt
Organism: Penaeus chinensis
Lineage: Eukaryota; Metazoa; Arthropoda; Malacostraca; Decapoda; Penaeidae
Exons: 3
Source: RefSeq, a predicted model, not a curated record